AACGAACGCUGGCGGCAUGCCUAACACAUGCAAGUCGAACGAGACCUUCGGGUCUAGUGGCGCACGGGUGCGUAACGCGUGGGAACCUGCCCUUAGGUUCGGAAUAACUCCCCGAAAGGGGUGCUAAUACCGGAUAAUGUCUUCGGACCAAAGAUUUAUCGCCUUUGGAUGGGCCCGCGUUGGAUUAGCUAGUUGGUAGGGUAAAAGCCUACCAAGGCGACGAUCCAUAGCUGGUCUGAGAGGAUGAUCAGCCACACUGGGACUGCGACACGGCCCAGACUCCUACGGGAGGCAGCAGUGGGGAAUAUUGGACAAUGGGCGCAAGCCUGAUCCAGCAAUGCCGCGUGAGUGAUGAAGGCCUUAGGGUUGUAAAGCUCUUUUACCCGGGAUGAUAAUGACAGUACCGGGAGAAUAAGCUCCGGCUAACUCCGUG
Molecule: ribosomal RNA, 433 nt
Filed under: uncultured bacterium
Lineage: Bacteria
Description: partial 16S ribosomal RNA
Rfam family: Bacterial small subunit ribosomal RNA
Source: RNAcentral